RNAcentral lists this ribosomal RNA (994 nucleotides) under uncultured bacterium. Its description in RNAcentral is "bacterial SSU rRNA". It matches the Rfam family "Bacterial small subunit ribosomal RNA", at positions 355 to 1375 of the family's 1533-position model. The record is from RNAcentral.
UGGGGAAUAUUGCACAAUGGGGGAAACCCUGAUGCAGCGACGCCGCGUGGAGGAAGAAGGUCUUCGGAUUGUAAACUCCUGUUGUUGGGGAAGAUAAUGACGGUACCCAACAAGGAAGUGACGGCUAACUACGUGCCAGCAGCCGCGGUAAAACGUAGGUCACAAGCGUUGUCCGGAAUUACUGGGUGUAAAGGGAGCGCAGGCGGGAAGACAAGUUGGAAGUGAAAUCCAUGGGCUCAACCCAUGAACUGCUUUCAAAACUGUUUUUCUUGAGUAGUGCAGAGGUAGGCGGAAUUCCCGGUGUAGCGGUGGAAUGCGUAGAUAUCGGGAGGAACACCAGUGGCGAAGGCGGCCUACUGGGCACCAGCUGACGCUGAGGCUCGAAAGUGUGGGUAGCAAACAGGAUUAGAUACCCUGGUAGUCCACACCGUAAACGAUGAUUACUAGGUGUUGGAGGAUUGACCCCUUCAGUGCCGCAGUUAACACAAUAAGUAAUCCACCUGGGGAGUACGACCGCAAGGUUGAAACUCAAAGGAAUUGACGGGGGCCCGCACAAGCAGUGGAGUAUGUGGUUUAAUUCGACGCAACGCGAAGAACCUUACCAAGUCUUGACAUCCCUUGACAGGCAUAGAAAUAUGUUUUCUCUUCGGAGCAAGGAGACAGGUGGUGCAUGGUUGUCGUCAGCUCGUGUCGUGAGAUGUUGGGUUAAGUCCCGCAACGAGCGCAACCCUUAUGGUCAGUUACUACGCAAGAGGACUCUGGCCAGACUGCCGUUGACAAAACGGAGGAAGGUGGGGAUGACGUCAAAUCAUCAUGCCCCUUAUGGGCUGGGCUACACACGUGCUACAAUGGUGCUAACAGAGUGAGGCGAGACUGUGAAGUUAAGCAAAUCACAAAAAUGGCAUCUCAGUUCGGAUUGUAGUCUGCAACUCGACUACAUGAAGCUGGAAUCGCUAGUAAUCGCAGAUCAGAAUGCUGCGGUGAAUACGUUCCC